CAGCAGCCGCGGGAAUACGUAGGGUGCAAGCGUUAAUCGGAAUUACUGGGCGUAAAGCGUGCGCAGGCGGUUUGUUAAGACAGAUGUGAAAUCCCCGGGCUCAACCUGGGAACUGCAUUUGUGACUGGCAAGCUAGAGUCUGGCAGAGGGGGGUGGAAUUCCGCGUGUAGCAGUGAAAUGCGUAGAUAUGCGGAGGAACACCGAUGGCGAAGGCAGCCCCCUGGGCCAACACUGACGCUCAUGCACGAAAGCGUGGGGAGCAAACAGGAUUAGAUACCCCGGUAGUCCCUGUCUCUUAUAA
RNAcentral lists this ribosomal RNA (301 nucleotides) under uncultured bacterium. RNAcentral's name for it is "partial 16S ribosomal RNA". It matches the Rfam family "Bacterial small subunit ribosomal RNA", at positions 509 to 809 of the family's 1533-position model. The record is from RNAcentral.